AAAGGAAUUGACGGGGACCCGCACAAGUAGCGGAGCAUGUGGUUUAAUUCGUGGCAACGCGUAGAACCUUACCAGGUCUUGACAUCCCUGUGACGUCCCCCUAAUAGGGGAUUCUCUUCGGAGCACAGGUGACAGGUGGUGCAUGGUUGUCGUCAGCUCGUGUCGUGAGAUGUUGGGUUAAGUCCCGCAACGAGCGCAACCCUUGUGUUUAGUUGUUAACAGGUUAAGCUGAACCCUCUAGACAGACUGCCGUGGAUAACGCGGAGGAAGGUGGGGAUGAGGUCAAAUCAUCAUGCCCCUUACGAUCUGGGCUACACACGUGCUACAAUGGCCGGUACAACGGGCAGCAAAAGAGUGAUCUGGAGCGAAACCUUAAAAGCCGGUCCCAGUUCGGAUUGCAGGCUGCAACUCGCCUGCAUGAAGUCGGAGUUACUAGUAAUCGUGGAUCAUAAUGUCGCGGUGAAUGCGUUCUCGGGUCUUGUACACACCGCCCGU
This 495-nucleotide ribosomal RNA is filed under the name uncultured bacterium. Its description in RNAcentral is "bacterial SSU rRNA". It matches the Rfam family "Bacterial small subunit ribosomal RNA", at positions 903 to 1397 of the family's 1533-position model. The record is from RNAcentral.